RNAcentral lists this long non-coding RNA (698 nucleotides) under Phaseolus vulgaris (common bean). Its description in RNAcentral is "long non-coding RNA (PVUL_LNC003076)". The record is from RNAcentral. Lineage: Eukaryota; Viridiplantae; Streptophyta; Magnoliopsida; Fabales; Fabaceae.
GGCCUCUCCUUAGGCGUGGGCGCCGGGCACCAAGAAUCAAGGGACAAAUCGCUUUGGUGUUUGAGACACCCCAUGGACGAUACGGCGCCGUUAGGCAAGCCUCUCCAUGGGCGUGGGCAUCGACGCGUGACCUUAUCCCAAGUGUUUAGGACCCAGAGUAGGUCUCAACUUUUGCGUUGCGGCAAUGGUAAAGCCACUGACGCCUUCACGAGGCAGAGGCCUCAUAGAUACGAAGGCGGGACAGUUUCUGAGGAACACGAUAGGGGCAAGGCACCGGGCAUACAGGGUCGCCCAACGCAGCGAAAGAAACGGGUAGAGUACAGGCAAAGCAAUCGAAGCACGUGAAGGCGAAAAAUGAAGGUAAAAUCAUACAGACGGAAUUCGAUAACUCAAAGGUACAAAAAUUGUCAUCCAUAGUUGUAGCGAAAGGGCCGAUAGUUCAAAGAAGUUACAAGUUCAUCAAAAGGGGGCAAAAACAAGUAUAAAGUGCAAGGGAGUAAGGUGGCGGUUGAGGGCGGCGGUUCAGUCAUCCAGCUCAAAGGGCACGACCUUCCCGUCGACGAUGUGAUGAGUGGAAUCGCAGUUGGAAACGUCGAUUCCCGGGUUCUCGCAGACGGCCUGGGCCAGAGCCUCUUUGAACCCCUCCUUGAAGGUGCCCGCCAUGUCAUUGAUAAGGGUUUUCUUGUCCUUCUCCAACU